AUACGUAGGGAGCGAGCGUUGUCCGGAAUUACUGGGUGUAAAGGGAGCGUAGGCGGGACUGCAAGUCAGAUGUGAAAUACCGGGGCUUAACCCCGGAGCUGCAUUUGAAACUGUGGUUCUUGAGUGAAGUAGAGGUAAGCGGAAUUCCUGGUGUAGCGGUGAAAUGCGUAGAUAUCAGGAGGAACACCGGUGGCGAAGGCGGCUUGCUGGGCUUUUACUGACGCUGAGGCUCGAAAGCGUGGGUAGCAAACAGGAUUAGAUACCCUGGUAGUCCACGCUGUAAACGAUGAUUACUAGGUGUGGGGGGACUGACCCCUUCCGUGCCGCAGUUAACACAAUAAGUAAUCCACCUGGGGAGUACGGCCGCAAGGUUGAAACUCAAAGGAAUUGACGGGG
This 396-nucleotide ribosomal RNA is filed under the name uncultured bacterium. Its description in RNAcentral is "partial 16S ribosomal RNA". It matches the Rfam family "Bacterial small subunit ribosomal RNA", at positions 523 to 918 of the family's 1533-position model. The record is from RNAcentral.